GAACGCUAGCGACAGGCCUAACACAUGCAAGUCGAGGGGCAGCACAAGGAGCAAUCUGAGGUGGCGACCGGCGCACGGGUGAGUAACACGUAUGCAACCUGCCUGUAAGCGGGGAAUAACCCGUUGAAAGACGGACUAAUACCGCAUAAUACUAAAUUACUGCAUGGUAAUUUAUUUAAACAUUUAUGGCUUACAGAUGGGCAUGCGCAUGAUUAGCUAGUUGGAGAGGUAACGGCUCCCCAAGGCAACGAUCAUUAGGGGUUCUGAGAGGAAGGUCCCCCACACUGGUACUGAGACACGGACCAGACUCCUACGGGAGGCAGCAGUGAGGAAUAUUGGUCAAUGGACGAGAGUCUGAACCAGCCAAGUCGCGUGCAGGAAGAAUGUCCUUAAUGGAUUGUGAACUGCUUUUGCAGGGGAAUAAAGUGCAUCACGUGUGAUGUUUUGUAUGUACUCUGCGAAUAAGGAUCGGCUAACUCCGUGCCAGCCGCCGC
This 494-nucleotide ribosomal RNA is filed under the name uncultured bacterium. RNAcentral's name for it is "bacterial SSU rRNA". It matches the Rfam family "Bacterial small subunit ribosomal RNA", at positions 31 to 518 of the family's 1533-position model. The record is from RNAcentral.